GGCGGACGUCGUUGGGCCGCAGCGCACCGCGGCUCAUCCGCGCCCCGAGGGAGCCGCCCCGCCAUUACCUGGGAGGAGCGGGGAAACUCCAUCAGAGCCUGAACCUCCAGAAUUUGUGACGGAGCAGCAACACAGAAAGAUGUAGUCAACAUCUUUCAUACAAGAUUUCCUAUCAUUUAAUGGAGAGGAGGAGAGAGAAGAGAGAGGAAACACACUUGGCUGCAUUCCUCCACGGGUCUUUUCUUCUGUGUCAGUUCUGCAGCACGUGACUCCUGCAACACUUAGGUUUGCAUCAGAUCUGCCAGAGCUGACUAAAGGUUUCUUAGCAGUAAUUCCUUGCUGGUUUUUAUCCCAACAACACUCAAUUGCAGGAAUGUCUUCUGAAAAGGUCCCGUCUGCAUUUGUGAUUUUUUGGAAAUAUAUAAAUAAUACGUA
Molecule: long non-coding RNA, 435 nt
Organism: Lagopus leucura (white-tailed ptarmigan)
Lineage: Eukaryota; Metazoa; Chordata; Aves; Galliformes; Phasianidae
Exons: 3
Source: RefSeq, a predicted model, not a curated record